UGCCAUAAAAAGUGAAACUCCAGCAGGGCCUGUUUGGAUGAGAAGCAGUACCACAUCUGGACUACAUAAGCUUCAGGGGCCAGUGACAUUAGACUUCUACUCUACACAGUGACACAGCCGAGACUGUAAAGAGAAGAUACAACAAAACAAAAAAAACUUCAGAAAGAAUACAUUUUGUUGAAGAUUGAAGGACUUUUGUUAAAUUUAGAGAUCAUGUCCACUUCUGGGAGAUUGCAGGGCAUUCCUAGCUCAGAAGGGAGAUGUACCCCAUUGAGCAUGUUCUGUGUCUCUCCAGGGUCUCCUUCCAGUGACGUGUUGUAAGACCUCUAAAGAGAGCCACCAAGGAUGCAUUCCUAUCAGGUAAAGACUGCGCGCUGGAUUCCUUGUCGUGCUUUGCUGAAGGAUCCACAACAGACGUGCAGUACAGUUAAAAGAAAAGAGACCCUUUUUUCAAGUGAAGGGUUUUCAGGUGAAAUGAAAACGUUGCGGGACGGCAAAGUGUUCUCCCAAAGCCUUUAACGACUCUAAUAACAACAAAAGUGGAGUGGAACCAAUGGGGG
This is a long non-coding RNA of Gambusia affinis (western mosquitofish), 560 nucleotides long. RefSeq lists it as uncharacterized. Lineage: Eukaryota; Metazoa; Chordata; Actinopteri; Cyprinodontiformes; Poeciliidae. The transcript has 3 exons. The record is from RefSeq and is a predicted model, not a curated record.